UACGUAGGUGGCAAGCGUUGUCCGGAAUUAUUGGGCGUAAAGCGCGCGCAGGUGGUUCCUUAAGUCUGAUGUGAAAGCCCACGGCUCAACCGUGGAGGGUCAUUGGAAACUGGGGAACUUGAGUGCAGAAGAGGAAAGUGGAAUUCCAAGUGUAGCGGUGAAAUGCGUAGAUAUAUGGAGGAACACCGGUGGCGAAAGCGGCUCUCUGGACUGUAACUGACACUGAGGCUCGAAAGCGUGGGUAGCAAACAGG
RNAcentral lists this ribosomal RNA (253 nucleotides) under uncultured microorganism. Its description in RNAcentral is "partial 16S ribosomal RNA". It matches the Rfam family "Bacterial small subunit ribosomal RNA", at positions 524 to 776 of the family's 1533-position model. The record is from RNAcentral.